RNAcentral lists this long non-coding RNA (203 nucleotides) under Capsicum annuum. Its description in RNAcentral is "long non-coding RNA (CANN_LNC016231)". The record is from RNAcentral. Lineage: Eukaryota; Viridiplantae; Streptophyta; Magnoliopsida; Solanales; Solanaceae.
GAUUUGCCCUAGAUUUGUACGAUAAUUGUUUCGUAAAAUGAACAUAGUAAAUUUGUCAUUUGGCUACUCUUAAAGCUUGCUUUAUCUAUUAUAGUUGUGAUCUAUAUUUCCUUUUUAAGAUAUCGCAGAAUUUUGUCACUUGCAGCUAUUUGUUGGAUUUUUAUAUCAUUUUCUGUUACUUUACAUGAUACCAUGGAUAUAUC